ACGAAUCAACGGGGUGCCGGAAGGCUGAGAUGAUACCCAUGGAACCUGGCCAGGUAAUGCUGGCAAGGGAAAAUGCUGCUUAUGGUCA
RNAcentral lists this non-coding RNA (88 nucleotides) under Lactobacillus delbrueckii subsp. delbrueckii. RNAcentral describes it as "TPP". It matches the Rfam family "TPP riboswitch aptamer (THI element)". From Rfam's summary of the family: Vitamin B(1) in its active form thiamin pyrophosphate (TPP) is an essential coenzyme that is synthesised by coupling of pyrimidine and thiazole moieties in bacteria. The previously detected thiamin-regulatory element, thi box was extended, resulting in a new, highly conserved RNA secondary structure, the THI element, which is widely distributed in eubacteria and also occurs in some archaea. Lineage: Bacteria; Bacillati; Bacillota; Bacilli; Lactobacillales; Lactobacillaceae. The record is from RNAcentral.